UGGGGAAUAUUGCACAAUGGGCGAAAGCCUGAUGCAGCAACGCCGCGUGAGUGAUGAAGGCCUUCGGGUUGUAAAGCUCUGUCUUUUGGGACGAUAAUGACGGUACCAAAGGAGGAAGCCACGGCUAACUACGUGCCAGCAGCCGCGGUAAUACGUAGGUGGCAAGCGUUGUCCGGAUUUACUGGGCGUAAAGGAUGCGUAGGCGGAUUUUUAAGUGAGAUGUGAAAUACCCGGGCUUAACUUGGGUGCUGCAUUUCAAACUGGGAAUCUAGAGUGCGGGAGAGGAGAAUGGAAUUCCUAGUGUAGCGGUGAAAUGCGUAGAGAUUAGGAAGAACACCAGUGGCGAAGGCGAUUCUCUGGACCGUAACUGACGCUGAGGCAUGAAAGCGUGGGUAGCAAACAGGAUUAGAUACCCUGGUAGUCCACGCCGUAAACGAUGAGUACUAGGUGUAGGAGGUAUCGACCCCUUCUGUGCCGCAGUUAACACAAUCAAGUACUCCGCCUGGGAAGUACGAUCGCAAGAUUAAAAACUCAAAUGAAUUGAC
RNAcentral lists this ribosomal RNA (545 nucleotides) under uncultured bacterium. RNAcentral's name for it is "partial 16S ribosomal RNA". It matches the Rfam family "Bacterial small subunit ribosomal RNA", at positions 355 to 914 of the family's 1533-position model. The record is from RNAcentral.